Molecule: ribosomal RNA, 422 nt
Filed under: uncultured Lachnospiraceae bacterium
Lineage: Bacteria; Bacillati; Bacillota; Clostridia; Lachnospirales; Lachnospiraceae
Description: bacterial SSU rRNA
Rfam family: Bacterial small subunit ribosomal RNA
Source: RNAcentral
UGGGGAAUAUUGCACAAUGGGCGAAAGCCUGAUGCAGCAACGCCGCGUGAGCGAAGAAGGUCUUCGGAUCGUAAAGCUCUGUCCUUGGGGAAGAUAAUGACGGUACCCUUGGAGGAAGCCCCGGCUAACUACGUGCCAGCAGCCGCGGUAAUACGUAGGGGGCAAGCGUUAUCCGGAUUUACUGGGUGUAAAGGGAGCGUAGACGGCCGUGCAAGUCUGAUGUGAAAGGCUGGGGCUCAACCCCGGGACUGCAUUGGAAACUGUAUGGCUGGAGUGCCGGAGAGGUAAGCGGAAUUCCUAGUGUAGCGGUGAAAUGCGUAGAUAUUAGGAGGAACACCAGUGGCGAAGGCGGCUUACUGGACGGUAACUGACGUUGAGGCUCGAAAGCGUGGGGAGCAAACAGGAUUAGAUACCCUGGUAGU